RNAcentral lists this long non-coding RNA (299 nucleotides) under Helianthus annuus (common sunflower). Its description in RNAcentral is "hypothetical non coding rna". Lineage: Eukaryota; Viridiplantae; Streptophyta; Magnoliopsida; Asterales; Asteraceae. The record is from RNAcentral.
UUAAAUGGACCCCAAUCGAAGAAGAAGCAUUAGCCAAGGCUUUCCUUGGCACUUCCGACAACCCGGUAAAAGGUAACAAUCAACCGGGUGACGGGUUUUGGUCCAAAGUAUUGACCAAGUUUCUCGCCAUGAUGGACCAAGGCCCGUAUAGAGAUAUCGACUCGGUUUCCUCGAAGUGGCGAAAAUUGAACUCGGCCAUUAAUCGGUUUUGCGAGGAGUAUAACAAAUUAUAUACAAGUGACCGUCGUAGCGGGUGGAACGACGAGGAUGUGUUCAAAAUGGCAUUGCAAAAGUAUAAG